GACGAACGCUGGCGGCGUGCUUAACACAUGCAAGUCGAACGCUGAAGCCCUUUCGGGGGUGGAUGAGUGGCGAACGGGUGAGUAACACGUGGGUAAUCUGCCCUGUACUUCGGGAUAAGCCUUGGAAACGGGGUCUAUUACCGGAUAGGACCUGUCCUCGCAUGGGGGUGGGUGGAAAGUUCCGGCGGUAUGGGAUGAGCCCGCGGCCUAUCAGCUUGUUGGUGGGGUAGUGGCCUACCAAGGCGACGACGGGUAGCCGGCCUGAGAGGGUGACCGGUCACACUGGGACUGAGACACGGCCCAGACUCCGACGGGCGGCAGCAGUGGGGAAUCUUGCGCAAUGGGCGAAAGCCUGACGCAGCAACGCCGCGUGGGGGAUGACGGCCUUCGGGUUGUAAACCUCUUUCGGCAUCGACGAAGGGGCCCUGUUGUGGGGUUUUGACGGUACCGUAAGAAUAAGCACCGGCUAACUACGUGCCAGCCGCCGCCGUAA
RNAcentral lists this ribosomal RNA (493 nucleotides) under uncultured bacterium. Its description in RNAcentral is "partial 16S ribosomal RNA". It matches the Rfam family "Bacterial small subunit ribosomal RNA", at positions 28 to 523 of the family's 1533-position model. The record is from RNAcentral.